CAGGAGAAGAUGGAGGGAGAAUGGAGAGCUGAGGAACAGGAUAGCUGUAAAGAGAGAAAGAAGGAGCAGCAAUACAAGAGGGAAAGGAGACGAUGAGGGAAAGAGAAGGAGGAAGUGUCAGAUCCUGCAGGAGGCUGUCAGAUAUCCCAGGCACACACAGGCUCCGCUCGGCUGCACACUCUGUUUGCUCUGUUCUGGCCGACACACACAAAGAAGCGGUGCAGACGGAUGAUGUGGAGACUCAGUCAGUGGGACCAAACCCUCCAGCUUCAAGUCCAGCUUCGAUCACGGAGGAAGAAUAAAGAAAAGGGAAAAGGGAAAAAAAAGA
Molecule: long non-coding RNA, 328 nt
Organism: Colossoma macropomum (tambaqui)
Lineage: Eukaryota; Metazoa; Chordata; Actinopteri; Characiformes; Serrasalmidae
Exons: 2
Source: RefSeq, a predicted model, not a curated record